This 491-nucleotide ribosomal RNA is filed under the name uncultured bacterium. Its description in RNAcentral is "bacterial SSU rRNA". It matches the Rfam family "Bacterial small subunit ribosomal RNA", at positions 157 to 661 of the family's 1533-position model. The record is from RNAcentral.
UCGGAGCUAAUACCGCAUAAGACCACAGUCUGGCAUCAGACAGGGGUAAAAGCAGUAAUGCGUUUUGAGAUGGUCCUGUGUCCUAUCAGCUAGUUGGUGAGGUAACGGCUCACCAAGGCUAAGACGGGUAUCCGGCCUGAAAGGGUGAACGGACACACUGGAACUGAGACACGGUCCAGACUCCUACGGGAGGCAGCAGUGGGGAAUUUUGGACAAUGGGCGCAAGCCUGAUCCAGCGACGCCGCGUGAAGGAUGAAGGCCUUCGGGUUGUAAACUUCUUUUGGAGGGGACGAAUAAAUUGACGGUACCCUCAGAAAAAGCCACGGCUAACUACGUGCCAGCAGCCGCGGUAAUACGUAGGUGGCGAGCGUUACUCGGAAUUACUAGGCGUAAAGCGUAUGUAGGCGGUUGUAUAAGUCUAUGGUGAAAUUUCCUGGCUCAACUGGGAAGGGGACAUAGAUACUGUAUAGCUUGAGUGUUGGAGGGGGAGG